Molecule: long non-coding RNA, 247 nt
Organism: Populus trichocarpa (black cottonwood)
Lineage: Eukaryota; Viridiplantae; Streptophyta; Magnoliopsida; Malpighiales; Salicaceae
Exons: 2
Source: RefSeq, a predicted model, not a curated record
AUCUGUUCGAAAGCUUCGUUUGAUGAUUCCGAGGGUGUGAGUCCCUCUGAUGGAAGAAAUUCUAUGUCUUGAAGAGGUGGUUUGUAGGACACUUUUGGAAACUUACUGUUUGCUUCAAGUUUUCUCAAAGUCUCCGUCUUCUUUGCCAGUGCCUUGCUUAACUUCAAUUGUCGCGUCGGAUUUGGACACCAAGUAAAGCAUUUGCCAAUUUUUCCCUUUUCAUUUUGCAAAUGAUUCACACCUUCAA